Non-coding RNA from Parelaphostrongylus tenuis, 76 nucleotides. NCBI's taxonomy places the organism in Eukaryota, Metazoa, Nematoda, Chromadorea, Rhabditida, Metastrongylidae. The record is from the annotation of a GenBank genome assembly.
GCGCCGGUGGAGCAGUGGAUCAGAGCACGCGUCCCUCGGAUAGGGUAAAAUGAGGGUUUGAGUCCCGCCUGGCGCA